This is a small nucleolar RNA of Heterocephalus glaber (naked mole-rat), 77 nucleotides long. Lineage: Eukaryota; Metazoa; Chordata; Mammalia; Rodentia; Bathyergidae. The record is from Ensembl.
UGGCCAAUAUUAAUGACUUCCGGUGCAUGAGUGAGUCACGGAUGAUGAAUGACAUGUGUCUGAAACUCUGAGGCCAA